GCCGAAUGCAGAUUCCAACCGGGAUAAAAAGCUGCAGCCGUAAUUAAGAGAAUCUGUCACAGCUGAGCGGCGGUGAUGAAGAACAGCCAGCAGCCGUGCAGGUAGGUCGCUCGCCCGGCCACGCCCCUUGACCUAGAUUCCGCUCCUCCGGCCAGACAGACACACAAACAGGGAAAAGAAAAGGGGGGAGAGGGAAAACAGACAAAACAAACACCCCCAGGACAGCUGUCCAUGACAUUUAUACCAAUGGUUAACGGUUAAAAAGUUAGGGGGUAGGGAACGGGUGUCCAACUGUCAUACAGGGUUUGGUUUGUAGGGUUUAAAAGACCUUAGGUGUGUCUCAAAUCGCGCACUUCUGUACUUAUACUAGCUAUUUGAGUACACUCAAUCUGUCACUCGUCGAAGUGUGGUAAAUGCAGCACACUACAUGUACCCGGAUGGUGCACUCAUAACGGUCAAAAAGUUGAGUGUGGAUCGAUGGACACUUUCCACCCUCAACGGUCGCCAUCUUGGCUACGUAGCGGAAGGGGCGGAGCUAACAAAAGGUGAAAAACUUUCGAUAAUGGCGGCCGAAUACGCGACAGCGAGACCCACGGAGUAUUACAAAUGGACACGGACGUGGCCGUCAAUGCUGCCAACUUGAGGGAAGUCCUCCUCUGCUGGAAGGCCAACGACCUGGGGGAGGAGAGAGAGGACUCCCUGCUGGUCUGGUGGACAGCACGGUGCACAGUGGCCCGGGGCAUAGCAAAGGCUCUGGCUAAACCACGAUAACAGGUACCGCUGGCUAGCCAAAAGAGGAAGCCAAGGGCCUCGAUGACGGGUCCCCAGCCAUGGUCACACGCCGUGCCGAGGAUGUACCGUUAAAGGAUCCCCCUGGAGAGUCUGAAGUCUACCAUCAUAUCACUUUCUCCAUCAAAGUACAGGGCCAGCAAUGAAUAGAACAAUGGGAUAUAUUUAAAUGUCUAUUGGGUUGCCUCUGCUUUCACUCUUGUAUUGUCACUGUAAUUAAUAGCUAUUGCAAUAAACACCCUUAUAUAAACAUAUAA
Molecule: long non-coding RNA, 1046 nt
Organism: Sander lucioperca (pikeperch)
Lineage: Eukaryota; Metazoa; Chordata; Actinopteri; Perciformes; Percidae
Exons: 2
Source: RefSeq, a predicted model, not a curated record